This is a non-coding RNA of Phrynosoma platyrhinos (Desert horned lizard), 72 nucleotides long. Lineage: Eukaryota; Metazoa; Chordata; Lepidosauria; Squamata; Phrynosomatidae. The record is from the annotation of a GenBank genome assembly.
GCCAACAUGAUGUAGUGGUUUGAGCGUUGGACUAUGACUCUAGAGACCAGGGUUCGAAUCUCCGCUCAGGCA